AGCAGCCGCGGUAAUUCCAGCUCCAAUAGCGUAUAUUAAAGUUGUUGCAGUUAAAAAGCUCGUAGUUGAAUUUCGGGAUCAAUUUAUUGGUCGUGCUAUUGUACGUACUGGUAUUAUUGAUUCCUACCUUCUGACGAACCAUGAUGUCAUUAAUUUGGUGUCUUGGGGAAUCAGGACUGUUACUUUGAAAAAAUUAGAGUGUUUAAAGCAGGCUCACGCUUGAAUACAUUAGCAUGGAAUAACGAAAUAGGACGUUUGAUUCUAUUUUGUUGGUUUCUAGGAUCGACGUAAUGAUUAAUAGGGAUAGUUGGGGGCAUUAGUAUUCAAUUGUCAGAGGUGAAAUUCUUGGAUUUAUUGAAGACUAACUACUGCGAAAGCAUUUGCCAAGGAUGUUUUCAUUAAUCAAGAACGAAAGUUAGGGGAUCGAAGACGAUCAGAUACCGUCGUAGUCUUAACCAUAAACUAUGCCGACUAGGGACCGGAUGAUGUUAAU
Molecule: ribosomal RNA, 493 nt
Filed under: uncultured Glomus
Lineage: Eukaryota; Fungi; Glomeromycota; Glomeromycetes; Glomerales; Glomeraceae
Description: SSU rRNA
Rfam family: Eukaryotic small subunit ribosomal RNA
Source: RNAcentral